UUUGAUUCUCCUUCUUGGUCUCCCAACUGAAUCUCCCUCCUUCAAUGACAUCCAUGAUUCUAAUCAAUUUUCAUAGAAAUUCCCAAAAUCAAACUUGAAUUCUAUAAAUUCAUUAAUAACUAAGCUCAAAUCACCACUUACCUCAAUUGGCCAACAAGUCUCCUUCACUAAUCUUCUAAUUUCUUGUAAUCCUUACUUGCUCUCUUCAAAUUAGGGUUUAAUUCAAGGUUUUCUCUUGAUUUCCUAUGAAACUUAUGGGAGAAUUUAAGGGUUUUGAAGUUUGGAAUGAAGCUUUAAUAGAGUUUUAGAGAGGGAGAGUGGACGGCAAUGGUUAUAGGGGGAAGAAGAUGAAGAUGAAGUUGAAUGAUAGUGGUGAUGAGGUGUGUGAAGAG
Molecule: unclassified non-coding RNA, 392 nt
Filed under: Hevea brasiliensis (rubber tree)
Lineage: Eukaryota; Viridiplantae; Streptophyta; Magnoliopsida; Malpighiales; Euphorbiaceae
Source: RNAcentral